Molecule: small RNA, 107 nt
Filed under: Marmota monax (woodchuck)
Lineage: Eukaryota; Metazoa; Chordata; Mammalia; Rodentia; Sciuridae
Source: RNAcentral
GCCUGGUGUGGUGGCCCACACCUGUGAUCCCAGCAGCUUGAGAGGCUGAGGCAGGAGGAUGGUGAGUUCAAGGUCAGCCUGGGCAACUUAGUGAGACCCUGUCUCAA